CCUCUCGCUGUCGUUGACUUUAUGUGUGUUUCGUUGGCGGGGCCUCGUUCAUUUUGACCGUGUAAUCGCUGUGCUGUGGUGGGCCUGAAGGAGGGUCAAAGGUGCGUCGACGUGCCCGGGUCAGAAAGCUGUGGGGAGCAAGAGCAACGCCACGAAAAUGCACGAAAAGCAACUAAAGGAGAAGCAACGCUUCGAUGUGCACCUCCGCCGCCUUGGCGAGCGUGUUUACCCCUCCAUGGAAGAUGGGUUUGAUCGGGAGCUAGCGAAGCUGCGCCGCAUCGACGCAUAUAUCCGGAGCAAUUUGGAUGAGUACUAUAGCGCGUCACUCGGUUCGAGCAUGGCGAAGAACCGCUUCCCCGAUGUGAAGCCGAACGAGGGCACGAUCGUGCGCCUGAACGAGACCGGUUCCCAAGGAGACGGCACGUACAUCAAUGCCAACUACAUCGACGCGCGCGAAAAGUUCAAGGUGCCUUUUGUGUACAUUGCGACGCAGGCACCAAUGAAGAACACUGUGCUGGAUUUUUGGCGCAUGGUGUAUGAGAAUGACUCGGCCUUCAUUGUGAUGCUCUGCGCGGUGAAGGAGAACGGCAAGAUAAAGAGUGAAACCUAUUGGCCCCCACGAGGCGCCGCAUACGACAUGGGGGUGCUGUCCGUCACCCUCGUCGCGGAGAACAUGCGGCCGGACUCGGUUCAUCGGCGGCUGCUGCUCCGCAGCGUUCGUGGUGACGAAAAGGAGGUGUAUCACAUGCAGUACGUGGCUUGGCCGGAUCAAGGUGUGCCGCAAAGCAGCGUCACACUAAUGGAAAUGAUCAAUACCAUCGCCAAGUCGCCGCGUAGCACACAGUCGCCGAUCGUGGUGCACUGCUCCGGUGGCAUUGGGCGGACGGGUGUCUUCAUUGGUCUGCACAUCGCCCUCGCGCAGUUUCAACUUGGUCAAGCAAACAUCAGCAUUCCUUGCAUCGUACGCCACUUAAAGGCGUGCCGCACCGGGAUGGUGCAGCGCAAGGAUCAGUACAUCUUUCUCUACUACGCGGUGCAGCGCGAGAUGGAGCGCAUGAUCCUAUCCCAGAAAGCCGGCGUCAAUCUGCUCGACAGCCGACCACGCUUGGCAGCCGCCGCGGCGACCCGCGCUGAGCCAGCCCCGACGCAGAUAGCCUCCCCGCUGAUCAUGCCCAUGCCCGUCCAGGCCCGCGGGCGGCACAUGUUUUCCAUCUCCACGCCGCUCCGCUCGUCGACGUCAGCCUAUCCCACCGAGCUUCGCUCCACGCCGAUCCAAGUCCCAGAAAACCGGAACGCCGAGGACGACGCGGCCACCAUGGAGAACUACCUGCAACGCGUAGGGUCGCCGCCCAGUUUGGGGCGUAGCCCAAGCCUGAGCUAUCCGGUCGAUUGCUCGUUUUCCGUGGAGACCUUACACCACCCAUUUCGCCAAACCUCACUGUCGCCCCCAUCACUCCCCAACUCCAUCCCGCGUGAGCCGGACGCACACUGGCGCCAGGUCGGCACCUCUCGAUCGAGCACGAGCUACAUGUCAGAGAGCACGACACCACUGCUUCGGGCCACAUCGCUCCUGCGAGAGGAACUUGCACGACAGCAGCAGGCAAAUCGCGUGAAGCGCUUCUCGCCUUCGUUUGUGUAAGGUAUUGGCGACUGCUUGAACGCUUCGUCGGCCGGGACGCCGUCGUGUGUGCCCAGAGCGCGCGCCGCGCCAAGUGGAGCUCUAGGCUUUGCAGUGCGCGUCGGCUCGCUGCUGCCUGUUGUAACUGCUACCUCCGCUUGCUUUCGUUUUGGAACCCAAAACCAUGUUGACGAUAUAGAACGCCACUUUAUCUCUUCAUUUAUUUUUCCGUUUUUCAG
This 1857-nucleotide unclassified non-coding RNA is filed under the name Leishmania donovani. RNAcentral's name for it is "gene:LdHU3.36.7460(CDS-product:tyrosine_specific_ protein_phosphatase_putative)". Lineage: Eukaryota; Euglenozoa; Kinetoplastea; Trypanosomatida; Trypanosomatidae. The record is from RNAcentral.